GACGAACGCUGGCGGCGUGCCUAAUACAUGCAAGUCGAGCGGAUCUUCAUUAGCUUGCUUUUGAAGAUCAGCGGCGGACGGGUGAGUAACACGUGGGCAACCUGCCUGUAAGACUGGGAUAACUUCGGGAAACCGGAGCUAAUACCGGAUAAUCCUUUUCCUCUCAUGAGGAAAAGCUGAAAGACGAUUUCGGCUGUCACUUACAGAUGGGCCCGCGGCGCAUUAGCCAGUUGGUGAGGUAACGGCUCACCAAGGCGACGAUGCGUAGCCGACCUGAGAGGGUGAGCGGCCACACUGGGACUGAGACACGGCCCAGACUCCUACGGGAGGCAGCAGUAGGGAAUCUUCCGCAAUGGACGAAAGUCUGACGGGGCAACGCCGCGUGAGCGAUGAAGGCCUUCGGGUCGUAAAGCUCUGUUGUCAGGGAAGAACAAGUACCGGAGUAACUGCCGGUACCUUGACGGUACCUGACCAGAAAGCCACGGCUAACUACGUGCCAGCCGCCGCAGUAA
Molecule: ribosomal RNA, 512 nt
Filed under: uncultured bacterium
Lineage: Bacteria
Description: partial 16S ribosomal RNA
Rfam family: Bacterial small subunit ribosomal RNA
Source: RNAcentral